UGUUCCAGGUAAAUCCGGUUCACUUUAACACUGAGGCGUGACGACGAGGCACUACGGUGCUGAAGCAACAAAUGCCCUGCUUCCAGGAAAAGCCUCUAAGCAUCAGGUAACAUCAAAUCGUACCCCAAACCGACACAGGUGGUCAGGUAGAGAAUACCAAGGCGCUUGAGAGAACUCGGGUGAAGGAACUAGGCAAAAUGGUGCCGUAACUUCGGGAGAAGGCACGCUGACACGUAGGUGAAGUGAUUUACUCAUGGAGCUGAAGUCAGUCGAAGAUACCAGCUGGCUGCAACUGUUUAUUAAAAACACAGCACUGUGCAAACACGAAAGUGGACGUAUACGGUGUGACGCCUGCCCGGUGCCGGAAGGUUAAUUGAUGGGGUCAGCGCAAGCGAAGCUCCUGAUCGAAGCCCCGGUAAACGGCGGCCGUAACUAUAACGGUCCUAAGGUAGCGAAAUUCCUUGUCGGGUAAGUUCCGACCUGCACGAAUGGCGUAAUGAUGGCCAGGCUGUCUCCACCCGAGACUCAGUGAAAUUGAACUCGCUGUGAAGAUGCAGUGUACCCGCGGCAAGACGGAAAGACCCCGUGAACCUUUACUAUAGCUUGACACUGAACAUUGAGCCUUGAUGUGUAGGAUAGGUGGGAGGCUUUGAAGUGUGGACGCCAGUCUGCAUGGAGCCGACCUUGAAAUACCACCCUUUAAUGUUUGAUGUUCUAACGUGGACCCGUGAUCCGGGUUGCGGACAGUGUCUGGUGGGUAGUUUGACUGGGGCGGUCUCCUCCUAAAGAGUAACGGAGGAGCACGAAGGUUGGCUAAUCCUGGUCGGACAUCAGGAGGUUAGUGCAAUGGCAUAAGCCAGCUUGACUGCGAGCGUGACGGCGCGAGCAGGUGCGAAAGCAGGUCAUAGUGAUCCGGUGGUUCUGAAUGGAAGGGCCAUCGCUCAACGGAUAAAAGGUACUCCGGGGAUAACAGGCUGAUACCGCCCAAGAGUUCAUAUCGACGGCGGUGUUUGGCACCUCGAUGUCGGCUCAUCACAUCCUGGGGCUGAAGUAGGUCCCAAGGGUAUGGCUGUUCGCCAUUUAAAGUGGUACGCGAGCUGGGUUUAGAACGUCGUGAGACAGUUCGGUCCCUAUCUGCCGUGGGCGCUGGAGAACUGAGGGGGGCUGCUCCUAGUACGAGAGGACCGGAGUGGACGCAUCACUGGUGUUCGGGUUGUCAUGCCAAUGGCACUGCCCGGUAGCUAAAUGCGGAAGAGAUAAGUGCUGAAAGCAUCUAAGCACGAAACUUGCCCCGAG
RNAcentral lists this ribosomal RNA (1296 nucleotides) under Salmonella enterica. Its description in RNAcentral is "partial 23S ribosomal RNA". It matches the Rfam family "Bacterial large subunit ribosomal RNA", at positions 1528 to 2803 of the family's 2925-position model. Lineage: Bacteria; Pseudomonadati; Pseudomonadota; Gammaproteobacteria; Enterobacterales; Enterobacteriaceae. The record is from RNAcentral.